RNAcentral lists this ribosomal RNA (253 nucleotides) under uncultured bacterium. Its description in RNAcentral is "partial 16S ribosomal RNA". It matches the Rfam family "Bacterial small subunit ribosomal RNA", at positions 524 to 776 of the family's 1533-position model. The record is from RNAcentral.
UACGUAGGGGGCGAGCGUUGUCCGGAUUCAUUGGGCGUAAAGCGCGCGCAGGCGGUUGGGAGAGCCCGGCGUGAAAGCCCCCAGCUCAACUGGGGGAGGCCGUCGGGGACCUUCCGACUGGAGGCCGGUAGGGACGAGCGGAAUUCCCGGUGUAGUGGUGGAAUGCGUAGAUAUCGGGAGGAACACCAGUGGCGAAGGCGGCUCGCUGGACCGGUCCUGACGCUCAGGCGCGAAAGCGUGGGGAGCGAUCCGG